RNAcentral lists this ribosomal RNA (465 nucleotides) under uncultured bacterium. Its description in RNAcentral is "partial 16S ribosomal RNA". It matches the Rfam family "Bacterial small subunit ribosomal RNA", at positions 36 to 507 of the family's 1533-position model. The record is from RNAcentral.
UCCUCCCUCUGGCGGCGUGCUUAACACAUGCAAGUCGAACGGAAAGGCCCUGCUUGCAGGGUACUCGAGUGGCGAACGGGUGAGUAACACGUGGGUGAUCUGCCCUGCACUUCGGGAUAAGCCUGGGAAACUGGGUCUAAUACCGGAUAGGAGCCAUUUUUAGUGUGAUGGUUGGAAAGUUUUUUCGGUGUAGGAUGAGCUCGCGGCCUAUCAGCUUGUUGGUGGGGUAAUGGCCUACCAAGGCGGCGACGGGUAGCCGGCCUGAGAGGGUGGACGGCCACAUUGGGACUGAGAUACGGCCCAGACUCCUACGGGAGGCAGCAGUGGGGAAUAUUGCACAAUGGGCGCAAGCCUGAUGCAGCGACGCCGCGUGGGGGAUGACGGCCUUCGGGUUGUAAACUCCUUUCGCUAGGGACGAAGCUUUUUGUGACGGUACCUAGAUAAGAAGCACCGGCUAACUACGUG